This 364-nucleotide ribosomal RNA is filed under the name unidentified archaeon. RNAcentral's name for it is "bacterial SSU rRNA". It matches the Rfam family "Archaeal small subunit ribosomal RNA", at positions 90 to 457 of the family's 1478-position model. The record is from RNAcentral.
UCAGUAACACGUAGUCAACAUGCCCAGGGGACGUGGAUAACCUCGGGAAACUGAGGAUAAACCGCGAUAGGUCACUACUUCUGGAAUGGGUAAUGACCCAAACCUAUAUGGCCCCUGGAUUGGACUGCGGCCGAUCAGGCUGUUGGUGAGGUAAUGGCCCACCAAACCUGUAACCGGUACGGGCUCUGAGAGGAGGAGCCCGGAGAUGGGCACUGAGACAAGGGCCCAGGCCCUAUGGGGCGCAGCAGGCGCGAAACCUCUGCAAUAGGCGAAAGCUUGACAGGGUUACUCUGAGUGAUUUCCGUUAAGGAGAUCUUUUGGCACCCCUAAAAUGGUGCAGAAUAAGGGGUGGGCAAGUCUGGUG